UACGUAGGUCCCGAGCGUUGUCCGGAUUUAUUGCGCGUAAAGCGAGCGCAGGUGGUUUAUUAAGUCUGGUGUAAAAGGCAGUGGCUCAACCAUUGUAUGCAUUGGAAACUGGUAGACUUGAGUGCAGGAGAGGAGAGUGGAAUUCCAUGUGUAGCGGUGAAAUGCGUAGAUAUAUGGAGGAACACCGGUGGCGAAAGCGGCUCUCUGGCCUGUAACUGACACUGAGGCUCGAAAGCGUGGGGAGCAAACAGG
Molecule: ribosomal RNA, 252 nt
Filed under: uncultured bacterium
Lineage: Bacteria
Description: partial 16S ribosomal RNA
Rfam family: Bacterial small subunit ribosomal RNA
Source: RNAcentral